AGAAUCAACGCUGGCGGCGUGCCUAACACAUGCAAGUCGAACGAGAAAGUGGGAGCAAUCCCACGAGUAAAGUGGCGCACGGGUGAGUAACACGUGACUAACCUACCCUUGAGUGGGGGAUAACCUAGGGAAACCUGGGCUAAUACCGCAUAAUACCUACGGGUCAAAGGAGCAAUUCGCUUUAGGAGGGGGUCGCGGCAGAUUAGUUAGUUGGCGGGGUAAUGGCCCACCAAGACAGUGAUCUGUAUCCGGCCUGAGAGGGCGCACGGACACACUGGAACUGAAACACGGUCCAGACUCCUACGGGAGGCAGCAGUGGGGAAUUUGCGCAAUGGGGGAAACCCUGACGCAGCAACGCCGCGUGGAGGAUGAAGCCCUUGGGGCGUAAACUCCUUUCGAUCGGAAGAUAAUGACGGUACCGGAAGAAGAAGCCCGGCUAACUUCGCGCCAGCAGCCGC
Molecule: ribosomal RNA, 458 nt
Filed under: uncultured bacterium
Lineage: Bacteria
Description: SSU rRNA
Rfam family: Bacterial small subunit ribosomal RNA
Source: RNAcentral